This 277-nucleotide long non-coding RNA is filed under the name Lupinus angustifolius (narrow-leaved blue lupine). Its description in RNAcentral is "long non-coding RNA (LANG_LNC003487)". Lineage: Eukaryota; Viridiplantae; Streptophyta; Magnoliopsida; Fabales; Fabaceae. The record is from RNAcentral.
UAGAUUAUUCUUUGACCAAUUGCAAAGGCUUCCCCCACGACUUCCCAUAAUAAUUAGUAAAUUAUUAAGAUCUGUUGCUUAAACAAAUACAAAAAGAUAAGAUUAAAUCAUAUUUGGAUUGAGACAAAAAGGAUCAUGACUACGACUUUUUAACUUAUCAGGACAAAAGGUCUCUGUCUUGCAUCAUCAUUCAAUCACCGCCGUCCAUAUCUCCAAUCAUGUUUGGUUUGUGUCGAUGAUGUGGCAACUGAUCAACAUAUAACUACCCCUGUGGCCC